CCAGGCUUGAACAGCGAGUGACCACUCCCGAAAGGGAGCUUCCGCAAGGACACUCGUAGAGGUGCUGCAUGGCUGUCGUCAGCUCGUGUCGUGAGAUGUUGGGUUAAGUCCCGCAACGAGCGCAACCCUUGUCUUCUGUUGCCAUCAGGUUAAGCUGGGCACUCUGGAGAGACUGCCGGUGAUAAACCGGAGGAAGGUGGGGAUGACGUCAAGUCAGCAUGGCCUUUAUGUCUGGGGCUACACACGUGCUACAAUGGCCGGCACAAACCGUCGCGAGCCCGCGAGGGGGAGCUAAUCGGAGAAAGUCGGUCUCAGUUCGGAUCGUAGGCUGCAACUCGCCUGCGUGAAGUUGGAAUCGCUAGGUAAUCGCGGAUCAGCACGCCGCGGUGAAUACGUUCCCGGGGCCUGGUACACACCGCCCGUCACAUCACGAAAGCCGGUUGUACUAGAAGUCGCCGCACCAACCCGCAAGGGAGGGAGGCGCCUAAGG
RNAcentral lists this ribosomal RNA (490 nucleotides) under uncultured bacterium. RNAcentral describes it as "bacterial SSU rRNA". It matches the Rfam family "Bacterial small subunit ribosomal RNA", at positions 975 to 1462 of the family's 1533-position model. The record is from RNAcentral.